Molecule: non-coding RNA, 31 nt
Filed under: Homo sapiens (human)
Lineage: Eukaryota; Metazoa; Chordata; Mammalia; Primates; Hominidae
Source: RNAcentral
UAAACGAUCAAUAACUACCUACCCACAAUGA